This is a long non-coding RNA of Schistocerca gregaria, 383 nucleotides long. RefSeq lists it as uncharacterized. The record is from RefSeq and is a predicted model, not a curated record. NCBI's taxonomy places the organism in Eukaryota, Metazoa, Arthropoda, Insecta, Orthoptera, Acrididae. The transcript is spliced from 2 exons.
UUACAGUACCGGGUGUCACGUUCACACAUUUGGCAAAUUCCUGUUUGAGCAAAGAUCAGCAAGAUAGCUGGCGAAAAACCAGUAACUCAGAAGCAACAUUGAAAAAUGAGUGCAGCAAGAAGUUUUUCAACAUUGCGGCGUACAAAGACAUGGCUCAGGUCGACAAUCAAGGAGGAUCGACUUAAUGGCUUAGCUCUGUUGAACACUCACCCUGUUCAUUAACUGUCCUAUUGACGAUGUAAUUAACCAAUUUGCCAGGAAGAAUAGGCGCAUAGCAUUCAUCAUUUAAGGAAGAGAACCACAAUUGUAACUUUUUAUAUCAUAAUAUGUCAUUAUCUUGUAUACGUGUAUAAUCAGUUUAAAUAAAACUUUCUUAAACUUUG